RNAcentral lists this ribosomal RNA (481 nucleotides) under uncultured bacterium. RNAcentral describes it as "bacterial SSU rRNA". It matches the Rfam family "Bacterial small subunit ribosomal RNA", at positions 68 to 566 of the family's 1533-position model. The record is from RNAcentral.
GAGGUAGUAAUAUCUAAGUGGCAAACGGGUGAGUAACACGUAGUUUACCUGCCCUGAAUGGGGGGAUAACGUCUCGUAAAGAGACGCUAAUACCGCAUAAGCUCACGAUCUAUAGAGGGGUUGUGUAGAAAAAGGGAGAAAUCCGCUUUGGAGGGGACUGCGGCCUAUCAGCUAGAUGGUGAGGUAAUAGCUUACCAUGGCAACGACGGUAGGGGGCCUGAGAGGGUAGACCCCCACACUGGGACUGAGAAACGGCCCCAGACUCCUACGGGAGGCAGCAGUGAGGGAUAUUGCACAAUGGGCGAAAGCCUGAUGCUAGCGACGCCGCGUGGGAGAAGAAGGCCUUCGGGUUGUAAAUCCCUUUUUUUGCGUGACGAGAAAAAGGACGGUAGCGCAAGAAUAAGUCUCGGCUAACUACGUGUCCAGCAGCCGCGGUAAAACGUAGGAGACAAACGUUAUCCGGAGUUACUGGGCGUAAAGU